ACGAAACAGAAAGUACGCAGAUUAUGGAUACACUCCAGGAAUAUAUAUUUGGCACCUUGAACAUUCAAGCACGUAUCUCCUCACCCGAAGAUAUCAAAUGGUUUUGUAUAGAUUAUGUUUUACAAAGUAAAGUUGGUGAAGAUAUCAUUGUAUAUACAUUAAUUCAUAGCGUGGCUAGAAGACUUGGUCUACGUUGCGUUGUAAUAGAUGUUGACACUCAAAUCUGUAUAUUUUGAAAAUCAAAAUUCGUCACGAAUAAUUUAGAAAAUGCAAGAUGUUUUUACAUAGAAGACGAAAAUUUCCCGAAUUGUCUUCAUGAUUAUCUACAAGAUUACGAGUCUUAUGAAACAUAUAAUGACGUCAGCAAAAUAAAAACU
Nylanderia fulva is the source of this 377-nucleotide non-coding RNA. The record is from RefSeq and is a predicted model, not a curated record. NCBI's taxonomy places the organism in Eukaryota, Metazoa, Arthropoda, Insecta, Hymenoptera, Formicidae.